Molecule: long non-coding RNA, 410 nt
Organism: Mustela erminea (ermine)
Lineage: Eukaryota; Metazoa; Chordata; Mammalia; Carnivora; Mustelidae
Exons: 4
Source: RefSeq, a predicted model, not a curated record
GUGAGUGUGACUGCCGUCUCCUGUCGUGCUCUCACCGUACGCUCAUCAGGGUAUCAGCUGUUACUAAUUGGUAGUGUACGUCGGCUUCAUCCUCAUGGCCGUUCCCACCACUCUCCCCUAUUUCUUCCACACUGCGCGAGAUCAGGGAAUGAGCUUGAUAUAACUGACUCCUGGUGUUUACUAAAGAGAGCCAAGCAACAGGGUAGAUCCUCUGAGAAGGCUCUGGAGGUUUGGAGCAAUCUGGAGAUUUGCAAUUUGGAGCAAUGUGGAGAUCAGCAAAACCUAGGGAGCUGCUUAUUCCAUGAUUCUCAAGACAGCUUCUUCCAGACACCGGCCACGCCAUCCUACCGUGUGGGGCCUGAACGUACAGCCUCUGGAACCAGACCACCUGGACUGAAAUCCCAGGAUCA